UACGUAGGGUGCGAGCGUUAAUCGGAAUUACUGGGCGUAAAGCGUGCGCAGGCGGUUCGUUAAGUUCGUUGUGAAAGCCCCGGGCUCAACUGGGAGGGUGCAUCGAAAACUGGCAGGCUUGAGGCAGGGAGAGGGAUGUGGAAUUCCAGGUGUAGUGGUGAAAUGCGUAGAUAUCAGGAGGAACACCGGUGGCGAAGGCGCACAUCUGGCCCGAUACUGACGCUGAGGCGCGAAAGCCAGGGGAGCAAACGGG
Molecule: ribosomal RNA, 253 nt
Filed under: uncultured bacterium
Lineage: Bacteria
Description: partial 16S ribosomal RNA
Rfam family: Bacterial small subunit ribosomal RNA
Source: RNAcentral